UACGAAGGGGGCUAGCGUUGCUCGGAAUCACUGGGCGUAAAGGGUGCGUAGGCGGGUCUUUUAAGUCAGGGGUGAAAUCCUGGAGCUCAACUCCAGAACUGCCCUUGAUACUGAGGAUCUUGAGUUCGGGAGAGGUGAGUGGAACUGCGAGUGUAGAGGUGAAAUUCGUAGAUAUUCGCAAGAACACCAGUGGCGAAGGCGGCUCACUGGCCCGAUACUGACGCUGAGGCACGGAAAGCGUGGGGAGCAAACAGG
Molecule: ribosomal RNA, 255 nt
Filed under: uncultured bacterium
Lineage: Bacteria
Description: partial 16S ribosomal RNA
Rfam family: Bacterial small subunit ribosomal RNA
Source: RNAcentral